GUCAGUUGACCCUUUUAGGAGUUAUUGCCCUUUAUAGUCAAUUUUUAACCAUUUUUCAUAAAUCUAAGUAAUCUUUUACAAAAUCUCCACUGAAACUACUAGGCCACAAUCAUCUUUGGGGUAUCUAGUUUGAAAAAUGUGUCCGAUGACCUGGCCAUUCAACCAAGAUGGCCGCCACGGCUAAAAAUAGAACAUAGGGUUAAAAUGCAGUUUUUGGCUUAUAACUAUGAAACCAAAGCAUCUAGAUCAAAUCUGAC
Molecule: long non-coding RNA, 257 nt
Filed under: Mytilus galloprovincialis (Mediterranean mussel)
Lineage: Eukaryota; Metazoa; Mollusca; Bivalvia; Mytilida; Mytilidae
Source: RNAcentral